Long non-coding RNA from Pelmatolapia mariae (spotted tilapia), 775 nucleotides. RefSeq lists it as uncharacterized. The transcript is spliced from 3 exons. NCBI's taxonomy places the organism in Eukaryota, Metazoa, Chordata, Actinopteri, Cichliformes, Cichlidae. The record is from RefSeq and is a predicted model, not a curated record.
GCUCUCUGCUGUGGAACCUGACUGACAUCAGUGCUUUGCCUGUGUGCAGAAGAAGAACAAGGACCAGAUCUCCAGUCUUCUCUCUCACAUCCCAACCCCCCCAUCCCCUCUAUCCUCUGUCCUGCUCCACCUGUUGUCUCUGCCUUCUUUCCAUCUGUAUUUCACUCUGUGGUUUGUUGCUCAGUUGCCAAACCAAAACUCUUAUUACGGUUUGAUGAUAAUUUCCAAGCCGUGUCUCUCCUGCUCUGGCUGUUCUCUCUGCUAAAUUUUCUCUCUACCUGUUUUUCACUCUUGGCUUGCUGCUGAAAGUGCCGGGCCAUUAAAGCAAUAAAGAGUGCAUAUUUUGCCUCAACCUGAGAACAAACUGAACAAACAAAGAAAAUUCUAAUUCACGGUUUAUUGUGAUUUCCAAGCCGUGUCUCUCCUGCUCUGCCUGUUCUCUCUUCUAAAUUUUCUCUCUACCUGUUUUUCACUCUUGGCUUGCUGCUGAAAAACGCCAAGCCAUUAAAGCAAUAAAGAGUGCAUAUAUUGCCUCUACCCUGAGAACAAACUGAACAAACAAAGAAAACUCUAAUUCACGGUUUGAUUGUGAUUUCAAAGCCGUGUCUCUGCUGCUCUGCCUGUUCUCUCUUCUAAAUUUUCUCUACCUGUUUUUCAUUCUGGGCUUGCUGCUAAAUUGUGCCAAGCUAAUAAAGAGAGUGCAUAAUAUUCUCUCGACUGAAGAACAAACUGUCAAACAAAGACAACUUUUUCAGAAAAAUAAAAAGUGAAAUAU